RNAcentral lists this transfer RNA (73 nucleotides) under Stegodyphus mimosarum. It matches the Rfam family "tRNA". From Rfam's summary of the family: Transfer RNA (tRNA) molecules are approximately 80 nucleotides in length. Their secondary structure includes four short double-helical elements and three loops (D, anti-codon, and T loops). The record is from Rfam by way of RNAcentral. Lineage: Eukaryota; Metazoa; Arthropoda; Arachnida; Araneae; Eresidae.
GCCCUCAUGGUGUAAUGGUCAACACGCUCGGAGCGUAUUCGACAGGUCCGAGGUUCGAGUCCCGGUGAGGGCA